UACGUAGGGGGCAAGCGUUGUCCGGAAUCAUUGGGCGUAAAGAGCGUGUAGGCGGCUUGGUAAGUCCGCUGUGAAAGUCCAGGGCUCAACCCUGGAAUGCCGGUGGAAACUGUCAAGCUUGAGUCCGGAAGAGGCGAGUGGAAUUCCUGGUGGUAGCGGUGAAAUGCGCAGAUAUCAGGAGGAACACCAAUGGCGAAGGCAGCUCGCUGGGACGGUAACUGACGCU
This 226-nucleotide ribosomal RNA is filed under the name uncultured bacterium. Its description in RNAcentral is "partial 16S ribosomal RNA". It matches the Rfam family "Bacterial small subunit ribosomal RNA", at positions 524 to 747 of the family's 1533-position model. The record is from RNAcentral.